Molecule: long non-coding RNA, 637 nt
Filed under: Setaria italica (foxtail millet)
Lineage: Eukaryota; Viridiplantae; Streptophyta; Magnoliopsida; Poales; Poaceae
Description: long non-coding RNA (SITA_LNC002708)
Source: RNAcentral
ACAAAGAGAGAAAAAAAUAACAUAGUACAAUUUCUUUGCAAAAGGACCCAACUGGCCAACACAAACAAACCCUCCUCCAACGAUUGCACCACCACCACCAUAAAAGAACUCGCCAUCAUCAUCGCUUUCUGGAACAACUAAAGAGGAGCUGUAUCUUGAGUUGCCAAUGUAAAGACUACAACAACAGCCAUCCGAAGAUGCUACCAAAGACUGGCAAGUUCUGUCUCUCCUUUUUCCUCUCUUUGGCAAAACUGCAGCGGUGAAUUUGAUCGUACAACUUUGAUUGAGUUUGGCAAAAACCUUUCCAGCCAAACGUUGGCAAAAUCCAACCGAACCUUGGAGGUGUUCAAGUGAUAUGCCACUCCUACUUUUACGGUCGAUAAAAUGGACCACCGAACAUAACAAAGUAAUCCUCGACGCCGCUCUCAGCUAGGUCGAUAACAACAUCGUCAUCCGAGCUCCAUUCAACAUUAUCUCUUUUUAUCGUAAGAUAGGGAUAUGUUUGCAUACCUAAUUUUAAGCAAGUGUGGCAGAUAAAUUUAAAGCCACACUUUAUCAUAGCAUAGGGACUCUUGCCACACUUUUUUAACUCUAUAAUAUGUGGAGUCAAAAAAAUCUUACCUAAGGUUAGUUAACG